This 232-nucleotide long non-coding RNA is filed under the name Panax ginseng (ginseng). RNAcentral describes it as "long non-coding RNA (PGIN_LNC007135)". Lineage: Eukaryota; Viridiplantae; Streptophyta; Magnoliopsida; Apiales; Araliaceae. The record is from RNAcentral.
CUAGUUUGGCGAGUGCAUCAGCAAUGCAAUUGUUAUUACGCUCGACCCCUUGAAACUCGUAGAAUUGGAAAUACUGAAGCCGUUCCUUCAAUUCUGCCAAAUACUUGAUCAUUCUAGGGCCUCGUGCUUCGUAUUCCCUAGAGAAUUGUUUAACGACUAACUGAGAAUCACUGAAGAUGACUAUUCUCUGCACUUCAAGACUCUUCGCUAAUCGUAACCCUGCAAGUACUGC